AGGUGUACCCAUUCUGUUUAGCGGACGUUGAAAGGAAUAUUUGUCUGUUAAUAAGAGAUAUCCAAGUUUGUUUAUUUCUCCAGAAUUCUCUAAGGUUGUGGUUUACUGGCCAAAGGAGCGUCUGAAGCUUUCUUUACAUACUCCUGUCAGCUUUGUGCAUGAUCUUGUUGAAGUAGAGAGCACAGGAGUGCGGCAAGAGUCAUCUACCACUGAACUGUCAGCUGAAGAAUCAAGGAAGUCAAUGUGUGGAAAAAUAGUGUGGAAUGCCAAGGUAGAACUUCUAAAAAAUUCAACUUAUUUAUGAUU
This is a long non-coding RNA of Telopea speciosissima, 306 nucleotides long. RefSeq lists it as uncharacterized. NCBI's taxonomy places the organism in Eukaryota, Viridiplantae, Streptophyta, Magnoliopsida, Proteales, Proteaceae. The transcript is spliced from 3 exons. The record is from RefSeq and is a predicted model, not a curated record.